Molecule: ribosomal RNA, 257 nt
Filed under: Escherichia coli
Lineage: Bacteria; Pseudomonadati; Pseudomonadota; Gammaproteobacteria; Enterobacterales; Enterobacteriaceae
Description: partial 23S ribosomal RNA
Rfam family: Bacterial large subunit ribosomal RNA
Source: RNAcentral
GCUCCUAGUACGAGAGGACCGGAGUGGACGCAUCACUGGUGUUCGGGUUGUCAUGCCAAUGGCACUGCCCGGUAGCUAAAUGCGGAAGAGAUAAGUGCUGAAAGCAUCUAAGCACGAAACUUGCCCCGAGAUGAGUUCUCCCUGACCCUUUAAGGGUCCUGAAGGAACGUUGAAGACGACGACGUUGAUAGGCCGGGUGUGUAAGCGCAGCGAUGCGUUGAGCUAACCGGUACUAAUGAACCGUGAGGCUUAACCUU